RNAcentral lists this ribosomal RNA (285 nucleotides) under uncultured bacterium. Its description in RNAcentral is "partial 16S ribosomal RNA". It matches the Rfam family "Bacterial small subunit ribosomal RNA", at positions 194 to 477 of the family's 1533-position model. The record is from RNAcentral.
AAGUAGGGGAUCGCAAGACCUUGCGCUUUUAGAGCGGCCGAUGUCUGAUUAGCUAGUUGGUGAGGUAAAGGCUUACCAAGGCUUCGAUCAGUAGCUGGUCUGAGAGGACGACCAGCCACACUGGGACUGAGACACGGCCCAGACUCCUACGGGAGGCAGCAGUGGGGAAUUUUGGACAAUGGGGGAAACCCUGAUCCAGCCAUGCCGCGUGAGUGAAGAAGGCCUUCGGGUUGUAAAGCUCUUUCAGCCGGAACGAAACGGUCACGGUUAAUACCUGUGAUCACU